CCUCAAAUCAGGUAGGAUCACCCGCUGAACUUAAGCAUAUCAAUAAGCGGAGGAAAAGAAACUAACAAGGAUUCCCCUAGUAACUGCGAGUGAAGCGGGAAAAGCUCAAAUUUAAAAUCUGGUAGUCUUCGACUAUCCGAGUUGUAAUCUAGAGAAGCGUCAUCCGUGCUGGACCGUGUACAAGUCUCCUGGAAUGGAGCGUCACAGAGGGUGAGAAUCCCGUCUUUGACACGGACUGCCAGGACAUUGUGAUGCGCUCUCAAAGAGUCGAGUUGUUUGGGAAUGCAGCUCUAAAUGGGUGGUAAAUUCCAUCUAAAGCUAAAUAUUGGCGAGAGACCGAUAGCGAACAAGUACCGUGAGGGAAAGAUGAAAAGAACUUUGAAAAGAGAGUUAAACAGUACGUGAAAUUGUUGAAAGGGAAACGCUUGAAGUCAGUCGCGUCCUUCAGAAAUCAACCUGACCUUGGUCUGGCUUACUUUCUGGUGGAUGGGUCAGCAUCAAUUUUGAUCAUUGGAUAAAGGCCUUGGGAAAGUGGCAUCUCCAGAUGUGUUAUAGCCUUUGGUUCAUAUACAGUGGUUGGGAUUGAGGAACUCAGUGUGAACUUGGGGCUUUGGCCUCACACGCACUUAGGAUGCUGGCAUAAU
Molecule: ribosomal RNA, 644 nt
Filed under: uncultured Basidiomycota
Lineage: Eukaryota; Fungi; Basidiomycota
Description: LSU rRNA
Rfam family: Eukaryotic large subunit ribosomal RNA
Source: RNAcentral